This 67-nucleotide transfer RNA is filed under the name Aldabrachelys gigantea (Aldabra giant tortoise). RNAcentral's name for it is "tRNA-Ser". The record is from RNAcentral. Lineage: Eukaryota; Metazoa; Chordata; Testudines; Testudinidae.
GAGAGAGGUAAUUAUACAAUAAGAACUGCUAAUUCCUAUACCUGAGACUAACCUCUCAGCUCCCUCA